CGGACCGGGGCACGAACCCGUGUCCCCUGCAUCGGCAGGCGGACUCUCAACCACUGCGCCACCAGGGAAGCCUUAAUAUACUUGAUUCUUUAUCCAUGGUUCAGGAGGUAAAGUAACCAGUUUUAUUUGUCAAAUGAUUUUGGCUAAGGUAUUGUCAUCUUGGCCACAACCUAAGGAAGAAAGUUAUUGCAAUAAGAAAUGCUGGAGCAUAAAGGUCAGUGUUGCCUUUGUUUUUGUUUUUGUAAUUGGGAUUGGAUUGAAGCAUAAGUCAUUAACAGCUGUGUGAAGUGACCAAGAUGGAAAAGUAGCAGUGGCAAAAGGCUAUUUCAUGGAGGUGGCUCCCUAACACUGACCAUGGGAAGCAAUGAUAGUUCGUGCAGUGACCAAUAGAACAAGUGAACAUGUACUGGUAAUUUAUAGGCCAAUAGUCCCAUUCACUCUUCCAUUUGAAAAGGAUGAAUCCAAACUUCAGGUCAGUUGGCUGCAAGAUGUUUGUUGUUUUUAGUUUUUUCGACUUUUUAAAAAGUCUAUAUACAAAUUUCAAGUAAUAUAUCUGAACAAGAUUUACUCUUCUUAAGGUCAUUUGAAUUCCUCAAAGUUUACGUUCAAAUCAAAGGUGAGUUUCACUCAAGCUUUGCCUGUGGCACUAUUUUACCUUAUCCGUCAUCACUGUCAUCUCUCCCAACUUUCUCUAUGGUUUCCCUCCUCCUGGACUUCUAGUCGUUUCUCUCUAAACAUCACCGAGGCACUCAGAUCUUGAGUGAUAGCCCCUGAAUGUAUAGUGUCCUUAAUUUACAACUUACAAAGACCCGAACUUCUAAGAAAUCUUUCUUAAUUUCCUUCUCUAUCAAAAAAUCUUGUGUCUUUGGAUGCAAGCUACCUAACCGUAACUAAACCUGCUAAAUUGCUCUUCGGGGAUCAAAGCGUCAGCAUGUCUCCCUUCCAGGUAACAUUUGUAUGUUUUAAUAGAGGUCACCUGGAGCCAUACAUAUAAACUUAAAUAGAGAUGGGACUUCCCUCGCUCAAUAUCAUGGCACAUAUGCAUACCAUUGUGGUAUUGUGUUGGUCAACAAGAAACAACAGAGGUAAUAUACAUGGUUCUAUUAUCCAUCUCCAUUACUGGAAAACAGUAUGGAACACCUGUAUUUUUUGAUAUAUGGUUGUGCAGUUACGGGGAGGGGCUCAGCAAAUGUACUCAUACCCAAGAAAAGCAGACCAUUCAUUUUCCUUUCAUAACAUCAACCAGAAUCAAGUCUUUGCAAGCCAAUUUUGAAUUUGAGGCAGAUAAUAUUUCCUGUAUCCUGCUAUUAUUUUUCUCGCCAGAAUGUGCUCAGUGAAGAUAAGUCCUGUGAAUAAUUAUCUGACUGCAUAAAACCAUUAGGCCAGGUUCCAGUGAGGUACCACAGCUGUGCUAGGGACCAGAUAAUAGAGGAAAAACAGCACUCAGAGCUUUUCAUAUCAUCUGUCUCCACCAUGAAUAGUGUAGUGAAGACAGGACCCAAAGUGGAGUGUUCCCAACUUCCCUGAGGGUAGACUAUGAGACACAUGGGGUAUGGGAGCCAGCAAGUGAAGAGAGCCAACAGACUGUUCUAGGCUAUGUAUCUCCUCAAACCUGGAGCCUGGGAUAGUUCUGUCUUUCAGUCUCUCCUCAUGCAGAAGGGAUGCAACCAAGAUGUUACAGUUAACUUUAGCCUCUAAGGUAAAGCCCAAAUGCAGGAUAAGUUCAAUGAUUCAGAAGCAUAUACGCUGAAGUUCUUUCUCUGGAAGUGAUUGUGGAGGGUGAGACCAAACCAAGUCCUUGGAAUAUGUGUAAUUCCUUCCUAGAAAAAGCUGGGAGUUGGCUAACUGCCUGUAUUGCCUCCUCUGAUCAAACUGUGUUGUUUGUUUAUUCAAUUAAUGCCUUUCCUUCUCAUUAGGCUUGCGGCCACAACCAGAUGGAGAUGUCUUAGUCUGCCAAAAAGAUGAGUCUGGCCUCUGUUUGCCUAUAUCCUUGAGGCUAGCUUUUUGCUUUCUCUGUUUAAUUUUUUAAAAGCUGUCUUAAAGACAUGACUGCUGGCUACAUUAGAACCAGAGGAAAAUAUCAGCAAAUCCCACUGAGAAGAUUGUGCAGGAGAAAUGAGAAAAGAAAAAAAACAAAACAAAACAAGCAAGGAGUGAUGAUCAAAGAAAUGAAAAAAACAAAACCCAACAACAAAAGAAUGUCCUCUGAGAAAGCUUGGAGUUGAGUUUUAUUUGUUUGUUUAUUACUGGCUGAGAUAUAAAGGAAGUUAAAAAAAUAGAGCUGCCUUCUUUCAUUAAUAUAUUAGCCAAAUAUAGCAAGUCUGACUGUCCUUUGCUAACCACCAGGCUGCACCAAUGCACACACUACUCCAAACUUCUAACAAGA
Molecule: non-coding RNA, 2386 nt
Organism: Delphinapterus leucas (beluga whale)
Lineage: Eukaryota; Metazoa; Chordata; Mammalia; Artiodactyla; Monodontidae
Source: RefSeq, a predicted model, not a curated record